CGGCGGUGCGCGUGCCCGGUGGGGCGCCACGCGCACGCUCCGACCCCGCCGCGCCCGGCGCUGGCACCUCCUCCAGGAAGCCCUCCCGACGCCCCGGCUGAGCCAGUCGUUUCCGAGUUCUCCGGCCCCUGAUGGGGACGUCUGCGCCCCUCUUCUCAGGCCAGAGGUUGUGCUACGAGCCAAGGACUGGCUGCCAGGAGCUCCUGGGGGCACCGCAGUGUGGGCCACCAGCUUGGAAGCAGAGGUCCCACCAGAUCUAGCGCUCAAUAAGGAGCAGCAGCUGCAGAUCUCCAAGGAGCUGGUCGACAUUCAGAUCACAACCCACCACCUACAUGAGCAGCACGAGGCUGAAAUCUUCCAGCUGAAGAGUGAGAUCCUUCGGCUGGAGAGCCGGGUACUGGAGCUGGAGCUGCGAGGAGAUGGCACCAGCCAGGGCUGUGCAGUCCCAGUGGAGUCUGACCCCAGGCACCCCCGGGCAGCAGCCCAAGAGCUCAGACACAAAGCCCAGGUGCCUGGACACUCUGAUGACCACAGAUUCCAGGUGCAGCCCAAGAACACCAUGAAUCCCGAGAAUGAGCAGCACAGGCUGGGGAGCGGCCUGCAGGGGGAAGUGAAGCGGGUGCUGGAGCGUCAGGAGGCCUGGCAGCAGGCACUGGUGACGCGUGUGUGAGUGGCCAUCUCACCUGGGGCCCCAUCCUGGAGCAGAGAGAACCCCUGAUCGUGGGCCUGCUGAGCCUCACCCC
This 743-nucleotide small RNA is filed under the name Pan troglodytes (chimpanzee). RNAcentral describes it as "retained intron". The record is from RNAcentral. Lineage: Eukaryota; Metazoa; Chordata; Mammalia; Primates; Hominidae.